GAGACACACACACACACACUCUUAUACUUGCUAAGACAGAGACACAAGGCAAAGAAAAACAAUCCAAAUUGGGAACAGUUGAGGUCCCUAAUUUGUAAGAGACAUUCAUAUUAUAUGUAAGUUUUUGACACUAGAUAUUCAGUUGAAAAUUCCUAACGCUUUUUUUAAUGGCUCUAGGUAAGCAGCAAUUUAAACAGUCCCUUGUUUUGCUUUGUUUAUUUCUAAGUAACCUUUCAGAUUGAAAAUCAAACUAAAAGCAAGUCAGUAAAACCUAUUUGAUUAAAUGAAAAUGUCAUGUAUUUCACAACUUUUAAAAAAUCUUGUCUGGCAAAAUGUUUAAUAAGAAAAAUCUGGUUUUGUUUUGCUCUGCUUUAUUUUGCUCUUACUUGCAGCUUUUUUUUUAGAUCACUGUGGGCAGAACUGUGUUCAACGGCUUCCCGUGGCCCAGGACAAGUUUUUUUAGUGACUGGAGUGUGUCAGUGUCCACCUGGCCGAAUGGGAACCAGGUGUCAGGAAGUGCUUCCUAAUGAUAAACCUGUCGUGGGUAACUUCAUGCAUACUGGAGAAGUAUCAUCCACAUCAAGCCUAGUCAAAUUCAACUCUACGUAUCUGUUAAGAGGGCAGAGGGGGAUCAGAGAUAGAAAGCGAGAAGAGAGAAAAACAAAGGCAAAAGGAGGUAAUAAAUAAAAGGUGAGGAAAUUGUAUUCCAUGGGUGAGUGGUAAGCAUAGCCCCAGAGAAAAUUCAAGAAAAGAAAUGGAAAUCCUUUGUCCACAGUCAAACUCUCCCACACCUCUUCAGAAUGAGCAUCUCCCCAGGCAGAUGACAAUUUUAGCUUUCAAAUAAGGGUAUUUGCUUAGACUACAUGAUUUCUAAAUACAAACCAAUGACUUCUUCUGAUGUGCAGCCAGAAGAAUAUUGAUAUUCUCCAGUCUUGGAGAUAAAACCUCCAAGACGUUUUAAGUCCUCCAUAUUGGACUUACUAAGAGACAAUUCUGUAUUGUACUUGAUUGGCCACCUAAGGAAAUGUUUCAAAGACUAAAUUUUAUACUUUUAACACCUAACUUCCUUGUAAGAUAUUUACCUACCAUAUAUGCAUCAUAUUCUUUUGCCCUCUUUCUUCCUUCUUCUCUUCCUCCUUCCUUUCUCUCACACCCAUCUCUCAUACCCAUCAUUUACUCCCAGGGCUUCAAAUAUCAAAAUGAUCAAAUAUCAAAAUAUCAGGACUUCAAAUAUCAAAAUGAUCAAAUAUCAAAAGAAAUGGGAGAAAGAUCAUCUCUCCCACACCCAUCAUUUACUCCCAAGGCUUCAAAUACCAAAAACUAUAUGAUAUCACCUUCCACAGAUACUCUUAUUUAUUUAAAUAAUUUAACUUAAAAAUCAUUCUCACUAAAUUUAGCCUGGAUUUGAACACAUUGCUUCUUUAUGUCUUUAAGGUAUUGAAGGAUUUUUUUUAUUUUUUAUUUAUUUGUUUUUUUGAGAUGGAGUCUCACUCUGUCACCCAUCACCUAGGCUGGAGUGGCACAAACUCGGCUCACUGCAACCUCUACCUCUCAGGUUCAAGCGAUUCUCAUGCCUCAGCCUCCUGAGUAGGGAUUACAGACAUGCAUCACCAUGCCUGGCUAAUUUUUAUAUUUUUGGUAGAGACGGGGUUUCACCAUGUUGGUCAGGCUAGUCUCAAACUCCUGACCCCGUGAACCACCCGCCUUGGCCUCCCAAAGUCCUGGGAUUACAGGCGUGAGCCACCGCGCCCAGCCAGUAUUGAAGGAUUUUAGGAAAGGCUUUGACCAAAUGUUUAUGUGCACAUCAUAAGACAUAAGCAUGAUCUACUUAAAGCUAUUUCAAUUUCCUCAUUCAUUUUUC
Cercocebus atys (sooty mangabey) is the source of this 1861-nucleotide long non-coding RNA. NCBI's taxonomy places the organism in Eukaryota, Metazoa, Chordata, Mammalia, Primates, Cercopithecidae. The record is from Ensembl.